Molecule: ribosomal RNA, 644 nt
Filed under: uncultured soil bacterium
Lineage: Bacteria
Description: bacterial SSU rRNA
Rfam family: Bacterial small subunit ribosomal RNA
Source: RNAcentral
UCCGAAAGGAGCGCUAAUACCGCAUGACGUCUGGGUUUGAAGACCUGGACACCAANGUCGGGGACCGCAAGGCCUGACGCUUGGAGAGGAGCCCGCGCCUGAUUAGCUAGUUGGUGAGGUAACGGCUCACCAAGGCAACGAUCAGUAGCCGGCCUGAGAGGGCGGACGGCCACACUGGGACUGAGACACGGCCCAGACUCCUACGGGAGGCAGCAGUGGGGAAUUGUUCGCAAUGGGCGCAAGCCUGACGACGCAACGCCGCGUGGAGGAUGAAGGUCUUCGGAUUGUAAACUCCUGUUGACCGGGAAGAAUGGACCCUGGGUAAAUACCCCGGGGUAAUGACGGUACCGGUUGAGGAAGCCACGGCUAACUCUGUGCCAGCAGCCGCGGUAAUACAGAGGUGGCAAGCGUUGUUCGGAAUUACUGGGCGUAAAGGGCGCGUAGGCGGUCGCCUAAGUCGGACGUGAAAUCCCCAAGCUUAACUUGGGAACUGCGUCCGAUACUGGGGGACUUGAGUUCGGGAGAGGUAUGUGGAAUUCCAGGUGUAGCGGUGAAAUGCGUAGAUAUCUGGAGGAACACCGGUGGCGAAGGCGGCAUUCUGGACCGAAACUGACGCUGAGGCGCGAAAGCCAGGGGAGCAAACG